RNAcentral lists this unclassified non-coding RNA (407 nucleotides) under Spiroplasma endosymbiont of Drosophila hydei. Its description in RNAcentral is "partial contains 16S ribosomal RNA, 16S-23S ribosomal RNA intergenic spacer, and 23S ribosomal RNA". The stretch from base 1 to 112 matches the Rfam family "Bacterial small subunit ribosomal RNA", at positions 1422 to 1533 of the family's 1533-position model. Lineage: Bacteria; Bacillati; Mycoplasmatota; Mollicutes; Entomoplasmatales; Spiroplasmataceae. The record is from RNAcentral. RNAcentral also lists the same sequence under 1 other name.
AGAAGUCGGUAUUCUAACCGCAAGGAGGAAGCCGCCCAAGGUAGGAUUGAUGAUUAGGGUGAAGUCGUAACAAGGUAUCCGUACGAGAACGUGCGGAUGGAUCACCUCCUUUCUAUGGAGUUAUUACUUUAUAGUAAUCUAAUUAGUUUUAAUGACCGUUAUGUUUAGUUUUCGGGGAUUAGUUUCUCUGACAAUAACACGAAAAAUGUUAUUGAAAUUGUUCUUUGAAAACUGGAUAAUAGACAUCUAGUUAUUUUAAUCAUAAGAUUAAAAUAACAAUAAUUCAAAAUUUCUGUUAUUUUAAAAAAAUAACUAAAAUUUCACAGUUAUAUUUGUAAAUGAUUCUCAAAACUGAUUUAAAAUCAGGUCAAAUAAUUAAAUUAAUAAAACUUUGAAGUUACAAAGGG